Molecule: transfer RNA, 71 nt
Filed under: Promethearchaeota archaeon
Lineage: Archaea; Promethearchaeati; Promethearchaeota
Description: Candidatus Lokiarchaeota archaeon tRNA-Lys
Rfam family: tRNA
About the family: Transfer RNA (tRNA) molecules are approximately 80 nucleotides in length. Their secondary structure includes four short double-helical elements and three loops (D, anti-codon, and T loops).
Source: RNAcentral
GGGCUAUUGGCGCAGGCAGGUAGCGCGGCAGGCUCUUAACCUGAAGGUCGGGGGUUCGAUUCUUCUGUCCA